UCCUACGGGAGGCAGCAGUGAGGAAUAUUGGUCAAUGGGCGGGAGCCUGAACCAGCCAAGCCGCGUGAGGGAAGAAGGUACAGCGUAUCGUAAACCUCUUUUGCCGGGGAGCAAGGGCGGGGACGUGUCCCGGCCCGGAGAGUACCCGGAGAAAAAGCAUCGGCUAACUCCGUGCCAGCAGCCGCGGUAAUACGGAGGAUGCGAGCGUUAUCCGGAUUUAUUGGGUUUAAAGGGUGCGUAGGCGGACUGUUAAGUCAGCGGUAAAAGCCCGGGGCUCAACCCCGGCGAGCCGUUGAAACUGGCUG
Molecule: ribosomal RNA, 305 nt
Filed under: uncultured bacterium
Lineage: Bacteria
Description: bacterial SSU rRNA
Rfam family: Bacterial small subunit ribosomal RNA
Source: RNAcentral